AGAAUGACAAUUAAUUGUGUAAUUGAUUUUAUUUUAAUGAUUUUUUGAAUCUCCCUCACCUCUUGUAGCUUCUCCUGCAAAUGGAUAAUGCCUGGCAGAAUUUGGGGACUAUUAGGAAACUAACAGUACAUUCUGCAUUAGAUGACAAAUGGCUUGUAUGAUUUUCCAGCUGAAGUAUGCAGAGCUGUGGAACAGUUAAAUGCUUAAGAGAUGCUCUUCAGACUGUCUACAGCUGGUGUCCAGUUUGGCUGCCGUGGUUGCUGUUUCCCAACAAGUGAACUGAGACUCAGGACAUGCCAGCAGGGAAGAAGGGGACAAAACAUUCACAUACUAAUAGCUCAUACAACUGAAGAGGAAAAAGCUCGGCCCACUCAAAUCAUGUAAAUGGAGAGUGACAACAAAAGCUCCAACCUGGGAUGUUUGCAUGGACUCACAUGUACCAGGACUGAAGAAAGAGAGGUACUGUCACUGAAAGAAAGAAGAAAACGGACAAUUGCCUUUUCUAGGGGAAGCCAAGUGAAAGGCCAGAACGGGGAAGAGCUACAAACUUCUCCAGCCUCCAGAUUUUAAUGAGCCUAUUAGUGUGUGGAAAUGCCUAUCCCUCAGUGUGCAGAGUGCUGACAAGCAGGUAUCAUUCAUUAGGUAGUCUUGCUUUAUAUAUCACGACAUUGCCUACAAAAAGCUAAGUUUUGGAAUAAAGCAGUUCCUUUUUUUCCCUUAUGGGUUUUU
RNAcentral lists this long non-coding RNA (729 nucleotides) under Calidris pugnax (ruff). Its description in RNAcentral is "lncRNA (ENSCPUG00000003496.1)". The record is from RNAcentral. Lineage: Eukaryota; Metazoa; Chordata; Aves; Charadriiformes; Scolopacidae.